Molecule: long non-coding RNA, 984 nt
Organism: Capra hircus (goat)
Lineage: Eukaryota; Metazoa; Chordata; Mammalia; Artiodactyla; Bovidae
Exons: 3
Source: RefSeq, a predicted model, not a curated record
UGGAAAAUUCCAUGGACAGAGAAGCCUGGAGGGAUACAGUCCGUGGAGUCACAGUCAGACAUGACUAAGGUAUGACUGACUUAACGACUAAACAGCAGUAACAUCCUGGGGACGAAAGUAAAAGUCAGAUUCCACGUAGAAGAUCUCCAGGACUGUAGGGAGAACCUGGACUGAGGGCAGAUUACUGCUGCUCUGUUCUCAGGAUGUGUUUGCAAGCUCAGCACAACGGAAAGAGUCUCAGAUCAAAUGGCAAGGCAGCGUUGCCACAUAACAACAUGCAACCAACUGUUUAUCACGUUUACAUACUUCAAACAGACAGAGGCUCGGAAGGAAGCAGCCUUUGUUCCUUCCAUCCUUCCUGCAUAAGACCCUGUGUGAGGACCUAACGUGGAAGCGUCAUGUGAAAAUUGUGCUAGAGGUCCCACACGUCAGGAUGAUGGAGAUGAGGAUGGGAGUUACCUGGACGGUUUACCCCACCAACCCUGAGAUCACAGUCCCCGGACAGCAGCAGUGAAUGUCCCAUACUUCUUGGUGAAUCCUUAGUCUCAGUCUAAAGUAGACUCCUUUGCUGUGCCUUCUUUUGUUUUUUUGAAGUGAGAUUCACAUAAUGAAAAUUAACCACCUUGGCUUUACAAUUCAGUGGCAUUCACAGUGUAGUGCAGUCCCCAUCUCUAAUUCCAACACAUUUCCAUCACCUCAAAAGAGCCGUGCACCCAUGAGGCAGUCACUUCCUGUUCUUCCCUGCUCCCAGCCCCUGGCAACCACAAUCUGUUUUCUAACUCUAUGGAUUUACACAUCUGUAUAUUUCAUAUAAAAGGAAUCACAAUAUGUAACCUUUUGUGUCUCACUUCUUUCGCUUUGCAUGUUUUUGAGUUUCACCCAUGUUGCAGCAUCUAUCAGCACUUCAUUCUUUUACAUGACUAAAUAUAUAAUGUGAUGUCAUAGAUACCCUGUAUUUUGUUUCUCCAUUCAUCUAUUAAGGAC